CGCCGCCUCCACAGCGCCGUAACUAUGGAGAGCGGGGGCGGGGCCAGGCGGCACYUGGGGGUGGGGCCCUGGAGGCGGGGUCUGCGAGGAGCAGUGAGGACUCUCCAACUUUGGUCCUGUCCGGCGGUGGGUGGGGCCUUAGAACUCCCACACACUCUUUCAGGUCCCCAAAGUCAUCCCAGAUGUUUUAUAUAUAUGUGUGUGUAUAUAUAUGUGUAUAUAUAAUUUUUGUAUAUAUGUAUACUCAUAUAUAUUACAAGUGAAUUUCUUAGAAACUGUAGAUAAAGCAUCUUGAGAAAAUGUUAAUGUUUUUAGUAUUGAGUGUAAGUUAAAAUGGCAUUUGCUGUGCAAAGAGGCAGCUUCAAGACAAGCUUUCUAACUAGAUUGCCAUGCCAAUCCCUGCUGUGCCUGACCUUGAGCGAGACUGCAGGAACUAUAAAGAUGAGGGAGGGAGUGGAUAUGCCUUAUCAUUGUAUUCUUGGCAAUUAAGCAAAUGCCUGACACAUGGUAGGUGCACAACRAUUGAAUAAAUGAGUGAAAGCCUGAAGAGUGUCUCACAACACUGUCCAUGAAGGAGUCCCCACUUUGUCAAGAAAGACUGUGGCAUACUUCCUCUGACAGGCGGGGAAACUCGGAACUAGAAGAUAACUGCCUGGCAYCGGCUGUAACAGGGAAAAAAAUUCUUCCUGCCUGCAUUCUGCAUUCCCGAUGUAUACUAAAACACUGCCAACACACCAGAAAAGGGGACGAAGAGAAAAGUAUCCCGUGGCUUAGCUCAUCCAGAGGCUAAGGGAACAAUAAAGGAGGCAGCUAUGGGCCUGAAAGAAGAAARGCAAGAGAUACCUGACUACACGGACAACAGCUCCCAGCCUCACCACAGACGUCUUCACAGCUAGUGAAGCCCCCAGGCCUCCUUUUUCCCAUCACAUCGCUUCUUUGCAAUAAAGCUCAAAUUCAACCCCGAGUGUCA
This 970-nucleotide long non-coding RNA is filed under the name Urocitellus parryii (Arctic ground squirrel). RNAcentral describes it as "lncRNA (ENSUPAG00010016822.1)". The record is from RNAcentral. Lineage: Eukaryota; Metazoa; Chordata; Mammalia; Rodentia; Sciuridae.